CCUACGGGAGGCAGCAGUGAGGAAUAUUGGUCAAUGGACGAGAGUCUGAACCAGCCAAGUAGCGUGAAGGAUGACUGCCCUAUGGGUUGUAAACUUCUUUUAUAAAGGAAUAAAACGAGGCACGUGUGCCUUUUUGCAUGUACUUUAUGAAUAAGGAUCGGCUAACUCCGUGCCAGCAGCCGCGGUAAUACGGAGGAUCCGAGCGUUAUCCGGAUUUAUUGGGUUUAAAGGGAGCGUAGAUGGGUUGUUAAGUCAGUUGUGAAAGUUUGCGGCUCAACCGUAAAAUUGCAAUUGAUACUGGCAGUCGUGAGUACAGUUGAGGUAGGCGGAAUUCGUGGUGUAGCGGUGAAAUGCUUAGAUAUCACGAAGAACCACGAUUGCGAAGGCAGCUUACUAAACUGUGACUGACAUUGAUGCUCGAAAGUGUGGGUAUCAAACAGGAUUAGAUACCCGAGUAGUC
RNAcentral lists this ribosomal RNA (460 nucleotides) under uncultured bacterium. Its description in RNAcentral is "partial 16S ribosomal RNA". It matches the Rfam family "Bacterial small subunit ribosomal RNA", at positions 338 to 795 of the family's 1533-position model. The record is from RNAcentral.